Molecule: ribosomal RNA, 397 nt
Filed under: uncultured bacterium
Lineage: Bacteria
Description: partial 16S ribosomal RNA
Rfam family: Bacterial small subunit ribosomal RNA
Source: RNAcentral
AUACGUAGGGGGCGAGCGUUGUCCGGAAUUACUGGGCGUAAAGGGUGCGUAGGUGGCACUUUAAGUUGGAUGUGAAAUCCCCGUGCUUAACAUGGGAGCUGCAUCCAAUACUGGAGAGCUAGAGUGCAGGAGAGGUAAGCGGAAUUCCUAGUGUAGAGGUGAAAUGCGUAGAUAUUAGGAGGAACACCAGUGGCGAAGGCGGCUUACUGGACUGUAACUGACACUGAGGCACGAAAGCGUGGGGAGCAAACAGGAUUAGAUACCCUGGUAGUCCACGCUGUAAACGAUGAAUACUAGGUGUAGGGGGUAUCAACUCCCUCUGUGCCGCAGCAAACGCAAUAAGUAUUCCGCCUGGGGAGUACGGCCGCAAGGUUGGAACUCAAAGGAAUCGGCGGGG